This 83-nucleotide small RNA is filed under the name Marmota monax (woodchuck). The record is from RNAcentral. Lineage: Eukaryota; Metazoa; Chordata; Mammalia; Rodentia; Sciuridae.
GCUGGGCGUGGUGGUGCACGCCUGUAAUCCCAGCAGCUUGGGAGGCUGAGGCAGGAGGAUGGCAAGUUCAAAGCCAGCCUCAG